AUGGGUCCUGGGCCUCCUCACUUUGUGUCCCUUUUUCUCUUUGGAGCAGGUCUUGUGGGUGCUAUGGUCAUUCAGAACCCACGAUACCGGGUUACCAGGGUGGGAAAACCAGUGAAUCUGAGUUGUUCUCAGAAUCUGAACCAUGAUGCCAUGUAUUGGUACCAACAAAAGCGGAAUCAAGCUCCAAAGUUGUUAUUCUAUUAUUAUGAUCAAGAACUUAACAAGGAAGCGGACACCUCUGACAACUUCCAGUCCAGCCGGCCUAAUACUUCUUUCUGCUCUCUUCACAUUCACUCACCAGGCAUUGAGGAGUCUGCCAUGUACCUGUGUGCCAGUAGCAGGGACACAGAGCUGCAGGGUUGCCGCCUCUCUGUUCAUAAACCUCUUUGA
Carlito syrichta (Philippine tarsier) is the source of this 390-nucleotide non-coding RNA. The record is from the annotation of a RefSeq genome assembly. Lineage: Eukaryota; Metazoa; Chordata; Mammalia; Primates; Tarsiidae.